This 514-nucleotide ribosomal RNA is filed under the name uncultured bacterium. Its description in RNAcentral is "partial 16S ribosomal RNA". It matches the Rfam family "Bacterial small subunit ribosomal RNA", at positions 28 to 523 of the family's 1533-position model. The record is from RNAcentral.
GAUGAACGCUGGCGGCGUGCCUAAUACAUGCAAGUCGAGCGAAUGGAUUAAGAGCUUGCUCUUAUGAAGUUAGCGGCGGACGGGUGAGUAACACGUGGGUAACCUGCCCAUAAGACUGGGAUAACUCCGGGAAACCGGGGCUAAUACCGGAUAACAUUUUGAACCGCAUGGUUCGAAAUUGAAAGGCGGCUUCGGCUGUCACUUAUGGAUGGACCCGCGUCGCAUUAGCUAGUUGGUGAGGUAACGGCUCACCAAGGCAACGAUGCGUAGCCGACCUGAGAGGGUGAUCGGCCACACUGGGACUGAGACACGGCCCAGACUCCUACGGGAGGCAGCAGUAGGGAAUCUUCCGCAAUGGACGAAAGUCUGACGGAGCGACGCCGCGUGAGUGAUGAAGGCUUUCGGGUCGUAAAACUCUGUUGUGAGGGAAGAACAAGUACCGGAGUAACUGCCGGUGCCUUGACGGUACCUCAUUAGAAAGCCACGGCUAACUACGUGCCAGCAGCCGCCGUAA